This 250-nucleotide ribosomal RNA is filed under the name uncultured bacterium. Its description in RNAcentral is "partial 16S ribosomal RNA". It matches the Rfam family "Bacterial small subunit ribosomal RNA", at positions 355 to 622 of the family's 1533-position model. The record is from RNAcentral.
UGAGGAAUAUUGCACAAUGGAGGAAACUCUGAUGCAGCAACGCCGCGUGGAGGAUGACGCAUUUCGGUGUGUAAACUCCUUUUAAGAGGGAAGAUAAUGACGGUACCUCUUGAAUAAGCACCGGCUAACUCCGUGCCAGCAGCCGCGGUAAUACGGAGGGUGCAAGCGUUACUCGGAAUCACUGGGCGUAAAGGGUGCGUAGGCUGGCUUCUAAGUCAGAUGUGAAAUCCAAUGGCUCAACCAUUGAACU